UCCCUUGUGUCUCAGCUGGUAAAGAAUCCGCCUGCAUUGCGGGAGACCUGGGUUCGAUCCCUGUGUUGGAA
RNAcentral lists this transfer RNA (71 nucleotides) under Bos taurus (domestic cattle). It matches the Rfam family "tRNA". Rfam says of the family: Transfer RNA (tRNA) molecules are approximately 80 nucleotides in length. Their secondary structure includes four short double-helical elements and three loops (D, anti-codon, and T loops). Further hydrogen bonds mediate the characteristic L-shaped molecular structure. tRNAs have two regions of fundamental functional importance: the anti-codon, which is responsible for specific mRNA codon recognition, and the 3' end, to which the tRNAs corresponding amino acid is attached (by aminoacyl-tRNA synthetases). tRNAs cope with the degeneracy of the genetic code in two manners: having more than one tRNA (with a specific anti-codon) for a particular amino acid; and 'wobble' base-pairing, i.e. permitting non-standard base-pairing at the 3rd anti-codon position. Lineage: Eukaryota; Metazoa; Chordata; Mammalia; Artiodactyla; Bovidae. The record is from Rfam by way of RNAcentral. RNAcentral also lists the same sequence under 2 other names.